This 68-nucleotide transfer RNA is filed under the name Pethia nigrofasciata (black ruby barb). Its description in RNAcentral is "tRNA-Ser". The record is from RNAcentral. Lineage: Eukaryota; Metazoa; Chordata; Actinopteri; Cypriniformes; Cyprinidae.
GAGGAAGUACAGAAAACUAUAAGCACUGCUAAUUCUUAUACCCAUGGUUAAAAUCCAUGGCUUCUUAC